RNAcentral lists this ribosomal RNA (495 nucleotides) under uncultured bacterium. Its description in RNAcentral is "partial 16S ribosomal RNA". It matches the Rfam family "Bacterial small subunit ribosomal RNA", at positions 28 to 507 of the family's 1533-position model. The record is from RNAcentral.
GACGAACGCUGGCGGCGUGCCUAAUACAUGCAAGUAGAACGCUGAAGGAGGAGCUUGCUUCUCUGGAUGAGUUGCGAACGGGUGAGUAACGCGUAGGUAACCUGCCUGGUAGCGGGGGAUAACUAUUGGAAACGAUAGCUAAUACCGCAUAAGAGUAGAUGUUGCAUGACAUUUGCUUAAAAGUUGCAAUUGCAUCACUACCAGAUGGACCUGCGGUGUAUUAGCUAGUUGGUGGGGUAACGGCUCACCAAGGCGACGAUACAUAGCCGAACUGGGAAGGUGAUCGGCCACACUGGGAAUGAGAACAGGCCCAGAAUCCCACGGGAGGCAGCAGUAGGGAAUCUUCGGAAAAGGACGGAAGGCUGACCGGGCAACGCCGCGUGAGGGAAGAAGGGUUUCGGAUCGUAAAGAUCUGUUGUAAGAGAAGAACGGGGGUGAGGGUGGAAAGUUCACACUGUGACGGUAUCUAACCAGAAAGGGACGGCUAACUACGUG